CCUACGGGAGGCAGCAGUCGGGAAUAUUGCGCAAUGGAGGAAACUCUGACGCAGUGACGCCGCGUGCAGGAAGAAGGUUUUCGGAUUGUAAACUGCUUUAGACAGGGAAGAAAAAAGACAGUACCUGUAGAAUAAGCUCCGGCUAACUACGGGCCAGCAGCCGCGGUAAUACGUAGGGAGCAAGCGUUAUCCGGAUUUAUUGGGUGUAAAGGGUGCGUAGACGGGGAAGCAAGUUAGUUGUGAAAUCACUCGGAUUAACUGAGGAACUGCAACUAAUACUACUUCCCUUGAGUACUGGAGAGGAAAGUGGAAUUCCUAGUGUAGCGGUGAAAUGCGUAGAUAUCGAGAGGAACACUCGUGGCGAAGGCGGGUUCCUGGACAUUAACUGACGCUGAGGCACGAAGGCCAAGGGAGCGAAAGGGAUUAGAUACCCCAGUAGUC
This 441-nucleotide ribosomal RNA is filed under the name uncultured bacterium. RNAcentral's name for it is "partial 16S ribosomal RNA". It matches the Rfam family "Bacterial small subunit ribosomal RNA", at positions 338 to 795 of the family's 1533-position model. The record is from RNAcentral.